CAAAACCAUAUAUGUGGAUAUAUGUGGUGGAAUAUACCUGAACAAGACAUCAUGACAGAAUUGUAUGAGAAGAGAUAAUCAUUAUUUGGGUGGAAUUGGAGGGGGCAAAGGGGCUAUGGUCAACUCAUCCCCAGCGGUCGCUGCUCACGCAGAAGGUGAAGAGAUCGAGGUGCUAGAGAGCACCAAUGUCCUUCCUGUAGCUCCAGAGGACCAAUGGAAGUCUCUUUUUGACAAGGGUCCGACUUCGUUGUGUCACAGUCACCAGCUCAGUCAUGUCUGCACUACACUUCCCAUCAUCCCUCCUGCUACUCACUGCACUCCCUCUGCAACCACCCAUACCUGACACCAAUUCAGCUCCUUAGCAGCCACUAUACUUAAGCACACACCUUGAUGCUCAUAGUUAUCUGGUCUUGUUUGAGUAAAGAAUGCUUACCUGUAUUACAAAUUACAAUAGCGGUAUUCCAACGUAUUUUCCAAGUUCCUGUUCUCCGUGUCUCCAAGUCUUCCCACUUUGUGUGUUCCAAGUGUUCUACUUACCUCCUUACUCACCAACAUCCAUUCGAGGUGUGUGCUCGAUCCUCUGUCCAGAAGUCCACAAUAGUGAUGCAAAGUCUAAUUCAUUUCCGCGAGCCAGUUUUUUUUUUUUUGGACAGUUUGGAUCAUUGAACCAGAUCAAAAAGCAUAUUUGCAACUCAGUGCCAUGUUGUUUCAAUGAACCAUAAAGUAAUUUGUGUCAACACAUAUUGAAACAUUCAAAUAAAAAGUUAUUUGUGUGAAUGCAUAUUGCUGAUUGUUGCCUUUCAUUCACUUAAGUAAAUGGUGUUUGUGGUCACAGUUUCAUUCACAGAUCCUUUGUGUCAGAUACGACUGACCAGUAUUGACUAGCCUACAACUUCCUAAAAGUUUCACACCUACAGCACACAUUACAGACACUGAUAAACAAACACGGAUAUGUUCUACAUGUCUAAUGUAUAAAGAAAGAAUAAAAGAAUCCUCUGCAAACUUUGACAGUUAGUUGAACUGGCUCAUUCGGUUCUUUUUGAGUCAGACGUGGUACUUCGGCUGUGUGUCCUGCAUCAUCAACCCAGAACUAAAGUUCAAUUCAGUUUGACUGGCUAGACUGGUUACUUCCUGAGAACCGGCUCAAACGAACGAUUCGUUCAAGAAUCAAACAUCACUAGUCUAUGAUCUCUACCUCACCUGCAAAGAAAGUAAUGUCCAUUACCGUUUCAUCUUUCCAUUGAACUUUACAAAGUACUAUUUAUUCACAUGCAUCUGUUUAACCUUCCAUGCUGCAAUUAACUUGUUAUUGUUAGGGUCCGACUUCGUUGUGUCACAGUCACCAGCUCAGUCAUGUCUGCACUACAAUUCCCAUCAUCCCUCCUGCUACUCACUGCACUCCCUCUGCAACCACCCAUACCUGACACCAAUUCAGCUCCUUAGCAGCCACUAUACUUAAGCACGCACCUUGAUGCUCAUAGUUAUCUGGUCUUGUUUGAGUAAAGACUGCUUACCUGUAUUCCAAGUUCCAGCAACAAUAUUCCAACGUAUUCUCCAAAGUCCUGUUCUCCGUGUCUCCAAGUCUUCCCAUUGUGUGUUCCAAAGUGUUCUGCUUACCUCUUUACUCACCAACAUCCACUCGAGGUGUGUGCUUAAUCCUCUGUCCAGAAGUCCACAAUCUCCACCGCACCUGCAAAAAAAUGUCCAUUACCAUUUCAUCAUCCCGUACAAUUUUACAAAGUACCAUUUACUCAUCUGCAUCUGUUUACCCUGCCAGGCUGCAAUAAACUUCUUAUUGUUGAACUGCAAACCAUCUCUCUGAGUCAUUACGUGACAGGUUGAUUAUCUUUUUCACACAUUGUAUAAUUAAUUUUUUAUGUAAGGAAUAAUUGACAACAAUCAAUUGAAUUAAUAAAAAAUAAUGCAUACCUGAGGUGGUAAUGCUGUUGCCAGUUUUAUCUAUUUUUGUCCCGCCAUGAAAAUAUUUCCAAAAACUUGCCAAAGCAGAACUAACUGUUGUGUGUCUCUGAGCAAUGCUGGUGUUUUGUUCCUGAAUGGAGCCGUGUUUUUGCACAGUUGAGAGAAAGAUUUACAUUUUUCCUUUCUCUUUGGUGUGUUACAAGCUCUUGGUGCUUAAAGAAGAUCUGUAAAGUUACAAAGACU
Long non-coding RNA from Cyprinus carpio (common carp), 2163 nucleotides. RefSeq lists it as uncharacterized. The record is from RefSeq and is a predicted model, not a curated record. The transcript has 3 exons. NCBI's taxonomy places the organism in Eukaryota, Metazoa, Chordata, Actinopteri, Cypriniformes, Cyprinidae.